Molecule: unclassified non-coding RNA, 390 nt
Filed under: soil metagenome
Description: partial contains 5.8S ribosomal RNA, internal transcribed spacer 2, and large subunit ribosomal RNA
Rfam family: 5.8S ribosomal RNA (bases 1-120)
Source: RNAcentral
GAUGAAGAACGCAGCGAAAUGCGAUAAGUAGUGUGAAUUGCAGAAUUCAGUGAAUCAUCGAAUCUUUGAACGCACCUUGCGCUCCUUGGUAUUCCGAGGAGCAUGCCUGUUUGAGUGUCAUUAAAUUCUCAAUCCUAGCAAGGGGUUUAUUCUCAGCUAGGCUUGGAUAUGGGGGUUUUGCCGGCUUUGUAAAGAGUCAGCUCUCCUGAAAAACAUUAGCAAGACUGUUAUUGCAACCUUCUAUUUGGCGUGAUAAUUAUCUACAUCAUAGAUUGUGUGCAUCAUGCGUCUGGCUUCUAACAGUCCAUUGAAUUGGACAAAACUCUGACAAUUUGACCUCAAAUCAGGUAGGACUACCCGCUGAACUUAAGCAUAUCAAUAAGCGGAGGA